UCUGACACACCCCGUCCCGAAGGAGGGCAUGCUGGCCGUCACGUGAGAGUGACGUAACCAUUUGCACAGUACGGAAGCUUUAAGAUACAAUUUAUAAGUUGAUACACCCGAAGGUGAGUCCUAAUUUUGUCCAUUUUGUCAGAACACCGUCGAAUUCCUCGUAGUCACCACACCUUUGUGAUUCCUGAACCUGGAGGGGCGCAAAACCAAAAUUGAGUGGGUCAGUAAAACAAUUCUUUUCCAAAUCCAAACAUUUCUCAAAACGUUGUAACCCCUCUCCGUAAAACCUGUAUACUUUCCCAGAAAUGUAAAAUAUAAAUAUACAUAUAUAUUCUCAAUACUUCAAUUCAUUAACUCAACAUUUUUUUCUUUAUCAAUCAUGCCAUGCCAUGUCUAAUUCAACAGUUAAGUAUGGAUGCAUCAACAAUAAUCAUAUCAGGUGCAAGAAAGUAAUCAACCGGAGGCCCUCUAAUAGCCCUGUACGGUUGAACCUAGAGCUCAAAUUCUAUCACUCUCACUCUACCGGAGUCACCUCUGUGACCUGUCCGGCCUUCUGCACACAAGUUACGCUCUAGUGCUUUCUCAUCAAUCAUCUGUGCACAUAAUCUAAGGUCACCCACCAGUCGAAAUCUCACUAACACUCUUCGACUGGCCCGUCGCACCCACUCCGCGUGGACUGUGCGACCAGCAUCUACUUGGAUCCAAGGCGAGCGUGCGAUGCGGUGAAUACUAUAAGCACUAAACCAUGGUGCAGGAUUUGAGCUCAAUAUACAUCAACAUCAUCAUAACAAUAUUUAAAUACUCACCUGAUACUCACCUGUGCGUCCGCCGCACCAUUCAUUCAUAUGCAUCAUAUCUCAAUUUCAUACUUUUCAUAUCAUUUCAUGCAUGGCAAUUCGAUUCACAUUUCUAUAUACUUUUCAUAUACUUUUAUGCAUGGCAUCUCAAUUCACAUUUUCAUAUAAUUCUAUAUGCCUUUCGUUUAAAACAUAAUUUCAUUCUAAUUCAAUUUCUGGGAAAACGUCAAGUAUAUAUAUAUAUACGGAAAACAAAACUGCCCACUCACAGAUUACAUCGACGUCUCGUAAGUCCCUGAGCAUCCCUUGGCCAUGCCCGAUGCCCGCAUAAACCUCACCUAUACAAAAGUAACCAAUUUGACGUUAUUUAACGCCUAACCC
RNAcentral lists this long non-coding RNA (1178 nucleotides) under Malus domestica (apple). Its description in RNAcentral is "long non-coding RNA (MDOM_LNC012356)". The record is from RNAcentral. Lineage: Eukaryota; Viridiplantae; Streptophyta; Magnoliopsida; Rosales; Rosaceae.